This is a non-coding RNA of Ixodes scapularis (black-legged tick), 72 nucleotides long. The record is from Rfam. Lineage: Eukaryota; Metazoa; Arthropoda; Arachnida; Ixodida; Ixodidae.
GGCAGGGUGGCGCAGUGGAAGCGUGCUGGGCCCAGAACCCAGAGGUUCGUGGAUCGAAGCCACGCUCUGCUA